CUUCAGGGUCAGGACCCAGCUGUUCCAACCACCCCGUGGCAGAGGUGGCCUGACCUCUGACCUCCAGCCCCCUGAGGGCCAAAUGGCCAGUGGGUGCCCAGAACUGUCCCAGGUCUCUGGCUCACUCCAGGAAUCCUCCUCCUAGAAGAUGGAAGCUUCUUUGACCCGGCCAAGCCCAGGAUGGGUCUCUUUCCAGUGGAAAGAACUCAAAGCAUGAAAGAGAUUCCACACAGGGGAGAGUCUCCACUGCUGGGGGAGUCUCAGAGCAAGGAAUGUGGGCAGCUUCCAGGAGUUGACAUAUCAUGGUAAAAAUACUGGAAAGCAAAGACAAAGAGAAAGCUUUGAAAGUUAACAAGAUAAAAAAAUGAUUCAUCACAUAUAAGAGAACCCCAAAUAAGAUGAACACCUGACUCCUCAGAAGAAGCAGUGGAGACCAGAAGACUCAAAGUCAGAAAAACACUGUCAAGCAAGAAUCCGAUAUUUAGGAAAACCACUUUUGAAAAUGAAGGUGAAAUAAAGACAGUUCAAGAUGAACAAAGAUAGAAAAUGUGUUGGCCGGGCACAGUGGCACACGCCUGUCAUCCUGGCACUUUGGGAGGCUGAGGCGGAUGGAUCACCUGAGGUCAGGAGUUCGAGACCAGCCUGACUAACAUGGUGAAACCCCAUCUCUACUAAAUACAUAAAUUAGCCGGGCAUGGUGGCAGAUGCCUGUAAUCCCAGCUACUUGGGAGGCUGAGGCCGGAGAAUCGCUUGAACCCAAGAGGCGGAGGUUCAACCUGCCGAAACAACCUGCCAGCCUGCAUUCCUUCCUGAUAGAGACCACUGGCCACGGAGUGGCUCUACGGCUAUGGAGGAAGCACAGGGAGGGGUUUUGUGUCCUCUGCUGCACCAUUUGACGCUGGAAGCCUGAAAACCCCACCCUCAGAUCACGAUAAUGCCACCAUUUUUUGAACAUGAGUCCCAUGGGGAGGCAUGAAGCUAAAUUGUGCGUUUGUGUGCUCCCCUUUCAUAAAUAUUCAUGACUCCUCUUAUAGCUCAUUGAAUAUGUAUAUUUGGCCACUCCCUUCAGCAUAAAUUCCUGUUCCCCUUGCCCCUCCCAUGAAGUGUCUGUUUUUGACUUCUGACUGGAGGCUACGCUUCCCUGCCUGUCAG
Molecule: long non-coding RNA, 1152 nt
Filed under: Homo sapiens (human)
Lineage: Eukaryota; Metazoa; Chordata; Mammalia; Primates; Hominidae
Description: HSALNT0145494
Source: RNAcentral